AUGGAGUCGGCCGCCGGCGGCGGGCUGGGCAGCAUGCGCGCCGUGCUCGCCAUCCUCCAGUGGUGGGGCUUCAACGUCACCGUCAUCAUCAUCAACAAGUGGAUCUUCCAGAAGCUGGAUUUCAAGUUCCCCCUCACAGUGUCCUGCGUCCACUUCAUAUGCUCCUCGAUCGGGGCUUACAUCGCGAUCCACGUGCUCAAGGCAAAGCCGCUGAUUCAGGUCGAGCCUGAGGACCGCUGGAAGAGGAUCUUCCCCAUGUCCUUUGUGUUCUGCAUGAACAUCGUGCUCGGGAACGUCAGCCUGCGCUACAUCCCAGUCUCCUUCAUGCAGACUAUUAAAUCCUUCACCCCUGCAACCACAGUUAUUCUGCAGUGGUUGGUUUGGAGCAAGCACUUUGAGUGGCGCAUAUGGGCUUCGCUGGUCCCGAUAGUCGGGGGGAUCCUCUUGACCUCGAUGACAGAGCUCAGCUUCAACAUUUUUGGCUUCUGUGCUGCCAUGAUAGGCUGCCUCGCCACGUCUACAAAGACCAUCUUGGCAGAGUCCCUGCUCCACGGAUACAAAUUUGACAGCAUUAACACAGUGUACUACAUGGCACCCUUUGCCACCAUGAUACUGGCUCUGCCAGCAAUGUUGCUUGAAGGAGGCGGCGUAAUCGACUGGUUCUACACACACGACUCUGUCUUCUCUUCGCUGAUUAUCAUCCUAGGCUCAGGGGUUCUUGCGUUUUGCCUCAACUUCUCCAUCUUCUACGUGAUCCAUUCGACCACGGCAGUGACCUUCAAUGUUGCUGGCAACCUUAAAGUUGCCGUUGCAGUCUUGGUCUCAUGGCUGAUCUUCCGGAAUCCGAUCUCCCCAAUGAAUGCAAUUGGAUGCGCAAUCACGCUCGUCGGCUGUACUUUCUAUGGGUAUGUGAGGCAUCUCAUCUCCCAACAGCAGGCUGCUGCCCUCCUAGGGAGCCAAGGAACGAACUCGCCGAGAAGUCGGGUGGAGAUGCUCCCCCUUGUAGGCGACAAGGAAGAUAAGGUCUAG
This 1029-nucleotide ribosomal RNA is filed under the name Triticum aestivum (bread wheat). Its description in RNAcentral is "partial small subunit ribosomal RNA". Lineage: Eukaryota; Viridiplantae; Streptophyta; Magnoliopsida; Poales; Poaceae. The record is from RNAcentral.